AUCUGAAGCCUGACGAGGAUGAGAACCUCCGGGGGCAGGAGGUUCGACUCGAGCGCAGCGAGAGAACGUUGCGUCAGCAACGGCCCGCAGGGCGAGCCACGCAGUGGCGAGUCAUCCUCUAUCA
This 124-nucleotide small RNA is filed under the name Salmonella enterica. Its description in RNAcentral is "RtT sRNA". It matches the Rfam family "RtT RNA". From Rfam's summary of the family: This family represents a bacterial cis-regulatory element known as RtT RNA. The exact function of RtT is unknown although it is thought that it may be involved in changing the cellular response in relation to amino acid starvation. The record is from RNAcentral. RNAcentral also lists the same sequence under 1 other name. Lineage: Bacteria; Pseudomonadati; Pseudomonadota; Gammaproteobacteria; Enterobacterales; Enterobacteriaceae.